This 1687-nucleotide long non-coding RNA is filed under the name Salmo salar (Atlantic salmon). RNAcentral's name for it is "lncRNA (ENSSSAG00000111930.1)". The record is from RNAcentral. Lineage: Eukaryota; Metazoa; Chordata; Actinopteri; Salmoniformes; Salmonidae.
GUGGAAGAGGACAGAGUUAGUUUCCUGGGAUUUGGAAGGUGUGGUGAGCGCGAUGGCUUUUCACCCUAGCGCGGAUGAGACGCUGUCGAUACGGCAUGGAUUCAGGUGUGUUCCUGAGAAUGGAGUUAAAGUGGAGGAAGUUAGUCAGUGAACAGGUAGGAGCUGAAUUUAUACAUUCCGCUUCCAGAAUGAACAAAGCUGUGGUUGUGUUCAUGAAAAGAGCAAAUUUGGUUGGUAGGCUAAUUGCUAGUGGAAUAUUUGUAAGGGAUGUGUUGGUGCCAGUUUCACCUCUCUCUACCCCUUCGACAAGGGUGGUAGUUGCAAAUUUGCCUCCGUUUAUUACGGAUGAUCAAAUCAGGAAAGAGCUGAGUGGUUUUGGUAAGUUUGCUAGUGGGUUUCGUGUACUGUCGGCAGGUUUUCAGACAGAUGCCGUUAAGCACGUUGUUUCAUUCUGGAGGCAAGUGUUUAUGUUUCUGAACAACAAUGAGCAACAGCUAAAUGUGCAUUUUAAAGUGAGGCAUGGGGAGGGGCUCUAUGCAGGGUUUGCCAGCACAGAUAGUCUACGGUGUUUUGAGUGUGGGGAUUUGGGGCAUAAGAGCUUUGUGUGCCCACAUAAAGGGCAUAGACAAGGUGAGGGUACAAGCGCCCCCGGUGGGGGAAAUCGAGGUCAACGUGAAGGGGACAAUGAGACGCAGGUAGCAGAGGCUGGGCAUAGUCAUGCCAGUGAUGGUGGUGUAGAUGAGUCUGGGCCUAGUCAUGCCAUGGAUGGUGGUGUAGAUGAGGCUGGGUCUAGUCAUGCUAUGGAUGGCGGUGUAGAUGAGGCUGGGUCUAGUCAGGUGAUGGAUGGUGGUGUAGAUGAGGCUGGGUCUAGUCAUGCUACAGAUGGCGGUGUAGAUGAGGCUGGGUCUAGUCAGGCUAUAGAUGGUGGUGUAGAUGAGGCUGGGUCUAGUCAGGCUAGAGAUGGUGGUGUAGAUGAGGCUGGGUCUAGUCAGGUUAUGGAUGGUGGUGUAGAUGAGGCUGGGUCUAGUCAUGCUACAGAUGGUGGUGUAGAUGAGGCUGGGUCUAGUCAUGCCAUGGAUGGUGGUGUAGAUGAGGCUGGGUCUAGUCAUGCUACAGAUGGUGGUGUAGAUGAGGCUGGGUCUAGUCAUGCUAGAGAUGGUGGUGUAGAUGAGGCUGGGUUUAGUCAUGUUAUAGAUGGUGGUGUAGAUGAGGCUGGGUCUAGUCAUGCCAUGGAUGGUGGUGUAGAUGAUGCUGGGUCUAGUCAUGCUAGAGAUGGUGGUAUAGAUGAGGCUGGGUCUAGUCAGGUUAUAGAUGGUGGUGUAGAUGAGGCUGGGUCUAGUCAUGCUAGAGAUGGUGGUGUAGAUGAGGCUGGGUUUAGUCAUGUUAUAGAUGGUGGUGUAGAUGAGGCUGGGUCUAGUCAUGCUAGAGAUGGUGGUGUAGAUGAGGCUGGGUUUAGUCAUGUUAUAGAUGGUGGUGUAGAUGAGGCUGGGUCUAGUCAGGUUAUAGAUGGUGGUGUAGAUGAUGCUGGGUCUAGUCAGGUUAUGGAUGGUGGUGUAGAUGAGGCUGGGUCUAGUCAGGUUAUGGAUGUAGUGUAGAUGAGGCUGGGUCUAGUCAGGUUAUAGAUGGUGGUGUAGAUGAUGCUGGGUCUAGUCAGGUUAUGCUAGUGGAUGAGGAGAGUAUAGUGGGG